UUUCGAUUUUUAUUGAACUCAAGAAUGCUUCUUCAGUUUCUCAGGUUGAUUUGAAGGAACUUUUUUACCCAAAAAAGCUAGGGUUUCCUGGUGAGUUUUUCGUGCCCUUUUUGAGUUCGAUUGGAAUCCGUUUUUAACCCACAUAACCUAACGUUUUCUGGUGAGUUUUGCGGCUUUUUUAGUGUGCCUGAUUUAAAUUUUUUUGGUGAUUUGCGUGUGGCUGUCUGAUCUGGUUUGAUUUUUGCUGUCAGGAAACGUUGGUCUUCGAAUAUUGGGGUUUUUGUGUGUGCAAGCCCUUUGUGAUCAAGGUUCCCAUACUGCAGGGGUUUGGAGCCUUGCACUCAUCAAUAUCUGAACAGAAAAAGAAUGAAUUAAAUCCAUGAACAACAGAUUUAUUUACCUUGGCAACCAUCUGGGAGGUAUGGGUUCCCUUCGUAACCUGACCAGCACUGGCAUAUGUAGCCUGAAGAACGAUUAUGGCAGGAGCUAUUUGCCUUGCAUGCAAAAGUGCUCUCGUUUUUAGCUGCAAUAUCACAUGACUCAUUCCCAAUUACCCAAUCAAUAAUUGCCGGAAGCUGGGUUGUAACGUUUAGUUCUCGAAAACUCGUGCUGUUAAAGUUGAACUCGCUUUCUUGCACAAGGAACGCGUAGCUGCAUCGGUGGGAGUCCCGCACAUCCGUAUAAUUGUAAAAACUUCCCAAGGUCACAGACCCAUUUUGCAGCCCACUGGGGACUUUAGUUUGGCAACAUCCAACGCCAGAGCAAGUAUCCCGCUGAUCGAUAGCGUUGCCAAGAUCGGCACAUUGGGACAUACACCCGGUUGUGUACUCUUCUUCACCCCGGUAACCUAUAAAAAACGCAUAUGUGUCGCAUCCAACUGCAACGAACAUGUUUUUGGUUUUGGAGAUGCUGCAAGGAGGAGGCACACUGAGCUCGGGACUGUUCGAUCUGGUCGAGUUGCCUUGAGCAUUGUAACAAUCACUGGCUGCGAACUGUAGUAUUUGGAGCUCACCGUUAUAAAGAGAUAUGUUGGUAAUUUUGACAUCGCUCGUCAUCCAAAGUGUUGUUGGCUGUUGAGUGGAAAUGUUACAAGUGAUGUUAAACCGGUCUUCGAGGUAGCAACCAUCGCCUAUGCCAAAUGGGUAUGGAAUUGUGAGAUUACCACAAUGGUCAGGGCAGCCAGGCAGUGCCUGAGGCGGAAGGAGAGAUUGAGCUGUUGUUGGAGUUGGAGUUGCUAGUAAAAUUGUAACUUCUACCACCAUUACUAAAGAGAGAUGCAAAAUAUGCAUCCUCCAAUGUAACGCCAUAUGGUAUUAACUGAAAAGUGUCGAGCAGAUCCUAGCAGUAGCAGAGAAUAAAAUCCAAGCAAGUGAUGGAUCCAAGAAAUUAAGGAACUGCUAAUUAAGAAGGUUGGCCUUCUGUAGGAAUAUAUUAUAUAUGGAAGGGAUUAAAACGCGUGGUGGAAUAUUUUGGGUUGGGGGAAAAUGUGUCCUACUCUUAAUUGUCUGUUAUUGUUUUAGUCCACGAUUAGGCUUUGUCCCAUGUAUUUCCAGGAAAUGCACAAGAAAACAUCCACCUGACUUGGUAUUAGUCAUUAGUCGAUACGCGUUGCCUCUUGAGCAUGGUUGGCCUUCUGUAGGAAUUAAUAUAAAAG
RNAcentral lists this small RNA (1654 nucleotides) under Malus domestica (apple). Its description in RNAcentral is "sRNA MD10G0209700". Lineage: Eukaryota; Viridiplantae; Streptophyta; Magnoliopsida; Rosales; Rosaceae. The record is from RNAcentral.